GAACCAGGUGGAGAGAGAUGAGAUUAGAACCUUUACUGGGGCAGGAUGGAGCACACUAACACCAGACAGAGAACCAGGUGGAGAGAUGGAAUUAGAACCUUUACCGGGGCAGGAUGGAGCACACUAACACCAGACAGCGAACCAGGUGGAGAGAUGGAAUUAGAACCUUUACUGGGGCAGGAUGGAGCACACUAACACCAGACAGAGAACCAGGUGGAGAGAUGGAAUUAGAACCUUUACCGGGGCAGGAUGGAGCACACUAACACCAGACAGAGAACCAGGUGGAGAGAUGGAAUUAGAACCUUUACCAGGGCAGGAUUGAGCACACUAACACCAGACAGAGAACCAGGUGGAGAGAUGGAAUUAGAACCUUUGUUGGAGCAGGAUGGAGCACACUAACUCCAGACAGAGAACCAGGUGGAGAGGUGG
Long non-coding RNA from Eriocheir sinensis (Chinese mitten crab), 429 nucleotides. RefSeq lists it as uncharacterized. The transcript has 3 exons. The record is from RefSeq and is a predicted model, not a curated record. Lineage: Eukaryota; Metazoa; Arthropoda; Malacostraca; Decapoda; Varunidae.